AUUGAACGCUGGCGGCAGGCCUAACACAUGCAAGUCGAACGGUAACAGGAAGCAGCUUGCUGCUUUGCUGACGAGUGGCGGACGGGUGAGUAAUGUCUGGGAAACUGCCCGAUGGAGGGGGAUAACUACUGGAAACGGUAGCUAAUACCGCAUACCGUCGCAAGACCAAAGAGGGGGACCUUAGGGCCUCUUGCCAUCGGAUGUGCCCCGUUGGGAUUGGCUAGUAGGUGGGGUAACGGCCCACCUAGGCGACGAUCCCUAGCUGGUCUGAGAGGAUGACCAGCCACACGGGAGCUGGGACACGGUCCAGAGUCCUACGGGAGGCAGCAGUGGGGAAUAUUGCACAAUGGGCGCAAGCCUGAUGCAGCCAUGCCGCGUGUAUGAAGAAGGCCUUCGGGUUGUAAAGUACUUUCAGCGGGGAGGAAGGGAGUAAAGUUAAUACCUUGGCUCAUUGACGUUACCCGCAGAAGAAGCACCGGCUAACUCCGUG
RNAcentral lists this ribosomal RNA (490 nucleotides) under uncultured bacterium. RNAcentral describes it as "partial 16S ribosomal RNA". It matches the Rfam family "Bacterial small subunit ribosomal RNA", at positions 30 to 507 of the family's 1533-position model. The record is from RNAcentral.